CCAAUAGCGUAUAUUAAAGUUGUUGCAGUUAAAAAGCUCGUAGUUGAAUUUCGGGAUUUAUCCGUCGGUCGGGCUUUUGGGUCUGUACUGGCGUGAUGAAUUCCUACCUUCUGAAUAACCAGCAUGCCAUUAAUUUGGUGCGCCGGGGAGGCAGGACUGUUACCUUGAAAAAAUUAGAGUGCUUAAAGCAGGCUAUUGCCUGAAUACAUUAGCAUGGAAUAAUGAAAUAGGACGGCAUGGUUCUAUUUUGUUGGUUUCUAGGAUCACCGUAAUGAUUAAUAGGGAUAGUUGGGGGCAUUAGUAUUCAAUUGUCAGAUGUGAAAUUCUUGGAUUUAUUGAAGACUAACUUCUGCGAAAGCAUUUGCCAAGGAUGUUUUCAUUAAUCAAGAACGAAAGUUAGGGGAUCGAAGACGAUCAGAUACCGUCGUAGUCUUAACCAUAAACUAUGCCGACUAGGGAUCGGACGAUGUUAAUUUUUUAAUGACUCGUUCGGCGCCUUACG
This 502-nucleotide ribosomal RNA is filed under the name uncultured Acaulospora. RNAcentral's name for it is "SSU rRNA". It matches the Rfam family "Eukaryotic small subunit ribosomal RNA", at positions 591 to 1092 of the family's 1831-position model. Lineage: Eukaryota; Fungi; Glomeromycota; Glomeromycetes; Diversisporales; Acaulosporaceae. The record is from RNAcentral.